AGAUAAAGAGAGAUCAGAAAUACAAGAGGCAGAGGAAGCAAGGUUGAAGAAAAUUAGGAAAUGCAGAUAUCAACAUUGAUGUUGAUUGGAUUAAUUUAAUUUUCAAGUAUUAUAACAUAAUUAUUUUAAUCUUCAUGUUAUGUAAUUUUAAAAUAAUAAUUUACCAAGUACAUUUUAAUCUGGUGUAUUUUGUUUAAUGGCUCCAUUUCACUUAU
Amphimedon queenslandica is the source of this 215-nucleotide long non-coding RNA. RefSeq lists it as uncharacterized. NCBI's taxonomy places the organism in Eukaryota, Metazoa, Porifera, Demospongiae, Haplosclerida, Niphatidae. The record is from RefSeq and is a predicted model, not a curated record. The transcript is spliced from 2 exons.